This 563-nucleotide ribosomal RNA is filed under the name Fusarium sp. OTU36 TS-2013. Its description in RNAcentral is "eukaryotic LSU rRNA". It matches the Rfam family "Eukaryotic large subunit ribosomal RNA", at positions 62 to 648 of the family's 3401-position model. The record is from RNAcentral. RNAcentral also lists the same sequence under 1 other name. Lineage: Eukaryota; Fungi; Ascomycota; Sordariomycetes; Hypocreales; Nectriaceae.
AAACCAACAGGGAUUGCCCCAGUAACGGCGAGUGAAGCGGCAACAGCUCAAAUUUGAAAUCUGGCUCUCGGGCCCGAGUUGUAAUUUGUAGAGGAUGCUUUUGGUGAGGUGCCUUCCGAGUUCCCUGGAACGGGACGCCAUAGAGGGUGAGAGCCCCGUCUGGUUGGACGCCGAACCUCUGUAAAGCUCCUUCGACGAGUCGAGUAGUUUGGGAAUGCUGCUCUAAAUGGGAGGUAUAUGUCUUCUAAAGCUAAAUACCGGCCAGAGACCGAUAGCGCACAAGUAGAGUGAUCGAAAGAUGAAAAGAACUUUGAAAAGAGAGUUAAACAGUACGUGAAAUUGUUGAAAGGGAAGCGCUUGUGACCAGACUUGGGCUUGGUUGAUCAUCCGGGGUUCUCCCCGGUGCACUCUUCCGGCCUAGGCCAGCAUCAGUUCGCCCUGGGGGAUAAAGGCUUCGGGAACGUGGCUCUCUCCGGGGAGUGUUAUAGCCCGCUGCGUAAUACCCUGUGGCGGACUGAGGUUCGCGCAUUCGCAAGGAUGCUGGCGUAAUGGUCAUCAGUGAC